Long non-coding RNA from Oncorhynchus tshawytscha (Chinook salmon), 565 nucleotides. The record is from Ensembl. NCBI's taxonomy places the organism in Eukaryota, Metazoa, Chordata, Actinopteri, Salmoniformes, Salmonidae.
UCACAGAGCAACAGAUGUGGCCCACACCCAUUCGAGGGAAAGAGAAAAAAACACAUUACGCAUGGGUCUCCAACUUAACACCACUGUCAACUUAACAGCAAAGCAGUUGCACAAAUUCAUCCAGGAAAGGGAGUGAACGGAAAACGUAUUGUUUGACUUGGAAUGGCACUGACUGACAUCAUCAUGAAGGCAUCAACCACAGCAGGUCCGGCAAUAACCAUGACAUCGCCAGAAGCCUUCGAACAAGGAAUCAUUGAGGACGUCACCCGUCUGGUCACACAGAAUUUCACAGAACACUUCACACAACCCUUCAGAGCUGGAGUUCUGACAACAACUUCUGCAGAUAUGACUGAAACAAACUCAGCCGCUUUUUUAGUGGGAGCCGCCCACGUAGAGGAUGGAUCCUUUGAAGCCAUUUUCGGAGACAACCCCGGACUUCCCCUCUCUGCCUCAAAGAGAAGUAAACACAAACUACGUGUAGCAAAUUAAACGAUGCCAAAUCGCAACCUUCGGCAGCCAUUUUGAUUGGCGAUGGUUCAUGCUCCGUGGUCAAUGUGGUCGGUCA